GAUGAACGCUGGCGGCGUGCUUAACACAUGCAAGUCGAACGGAAAGGCCCAAGCUUGCUUGGGUACUCGAGUGGCGAACGGGUGAGUAACACGUGGGUGAUCUGCCCUGCACUUCGGGAUAAGCCUGGGAAACUGGGUCUAAUACCGGAUAGGACGAUGGUUUGGAUGCCAUUGUGGAAAGUUUUUUCGGUGUGGGAUGAGCUCGCGGCCUAUCAGCUUGUUGGUGGGGUAAUGGCCUACCAAGGCGUCGACGGGUAGCCGGCCUGAGAGGGUGUACGGUCACAUUGGGACUGAGAUACGGCCCAGACUCCUACGGGAGGCAGCAGUGGGGAAUAUUGCACAAUGGGCGCAAGCCUGAUGCAGCGACGCCGCGUGGGGGAUGACGGCCUUCGGGUUGUAAACUCCUUUCGCUAGGGACGAAGCGUUUUUGUGACGGUACCUGGAGAAGAAGCACCGGCUAACUACGUG
This 468-nucleotide ribosomal RNA is filed under the name uncultured bacterium. Its description in RNAcentral is "partial 16S ribosomal RNA". It matches the Rfam family "Bacterial small subunit ribosomal RNA", at positions 28 to 507 of the family's 1533-position model. The record is from RNAcentral.